GACGAACGCUGGCGGCGUGCCUAAUACAUGCAAGUAGAACGCUGAAGCGAGGAGCUUACUCUUCUUGGAUGAGUUGCGAACGGGUGAGUAACGCGUAGGUAACCUGCCUUGUAGCGGGGGAUAACUAUUGGAAACGAUAGCUAAUACCGCAUAACAAUGGAUGACACAUGUCAUUUAUUUGAAAGGGGCAAUUGCUCCACUACAAGAUGGACCUGCGUUGUAUUAGCUAGUAGGUGAGGUAAUGGCUCACCUAGGCGACGAUACAUAGCCGACCUGAGAGGGUGAGCGGCCACACUGGGACUGAGACACGGCCCAGACGCCUACGGGAGGCAGCAGUAGGGAAUCUUCGGCAAUGGGGGCAACCCUGACCGAGCAACGCCGCGUGAGUGAGGAAGGUUUUCGGAUCGUAAAGCUCUGUUGUAAGUCAAGAACGGGUGUGAGAGUGGAAAGUUCACACUGUGACGGUAGCUGACCAGAAAGGGACGGCUAACUACGUG
Molecule: ribosomal RNA, 497 nt
Filed under: uncultured bacterium
Lineage: Bacteria
Description: partial 16S ribosomal RNA
Rfam family: Bacterial small subunit ribosomal RNA
Source: RNAcentral